RNAcentral lists this ribosomal RNA (254 nucleotides) under uncultured bacterium. Its description in RNAcentral is "partial 16S ribosomal RNA". It matches the Rfam family "Bacterial small subunit ribosomal RNA", at positions 524 to 776 of the family's 1533-position model. The record is from RNAcentral.
UACGUAGGGUGCAAGCGUUAAUCGGAAUUACUGGGCGUAAAGCGUGCGCAGGCGGUUGUGCAAGACAGAUGUGAAAUCCCCGGGCUCAACCUGGGAAUUGCAUUUGUGACUGCACGGCUAGAGUGUGUCAGAGGGGGGUAGAAUUCCACGUGUAGCAGUGAAAUGCGUAGAGAUGUGGAGGAAUACCGAUGGCGAAGGCAGCCCCCUGGGAUAACACCGACGCCUCAUGCACGAAAGCGUGGGGAGCAAACAGG